AAGUUAUACUAUAUUGACAAUUUAUUUUAACAUUUUCAGCACGCCACCUAGCAAGAGCAUGGAUCAAAUAUAGAUACGGAGUUUUUGACGAAAAUUCUCAUCCAGACGAUAAUCGCUUUCCUCUUUUUUACAAACGUAUGGGCAAGCUUUAUCCAAUCAC
Molecule: long non-coding RNA, 160 nt
Organism: Limulus polyphemus (Atlantic horseshoe crab)
Lineage: Eukaryota; Metazoa; Arthropoda; Merostomata; Xiphosura; Limulidae
Exons: 3
Source: RefSeq, a predicted model, not a curated record